GCCGCAGGGUGUGCGCUUGCGCCGAGCUCCGGGACAGGGCGUGUUCCCCGUUCCGGUCCGCGUUUUGCUCUGAACGAGUGCAUCUCUUGCCACUCAAGUGCGCCCUGCGGAAACCUGUGGUUCUUUCGCCCCACCUGUUAGGUGCUGCCUUCGGCGAACAUGUCCAAGUCUCUGAAAAAGUUGGUGGAGGAGAGCCGGGAGAAGAACCAGCCGGAAGUGGACAUGAGUGACCGGGGCAUCUCCAACAUGCUGGAUGUCAACGGCUUGUUCUCCUUAUCCCACAUCACACAACUGGUCCUCAGCCAUAACAAGCUAACAACUGUGCCGCCAAACAUAGCAGAGCUGAAGAAUUUGGAAGUGCUGAACUUCUUUAAUAACCAGAUUGAGGAGCUGCCCACACAGAUCAGCAGCCUUCAAAAACUCAAACACCUGAAUCUGGGCAUGAACAGACUGAACACUUUGCCUCGAGGAUUUGGCUCUCUCCCAGCUCUUGAGGUCCUUGAUUUGACUUACAACAACUUGAAUGAAAACUCUCUUCCCGGAAACUUCUUCUACCUUACCACCCUGCGCGCACUCUAUCUAAGUGACAACGAUUUUGAAAUCCUGCCGCCAGAUAUCGGGAAGCUCACAAAGUUGCAGAUACUCAGCCUUAGGGAUAACGACCUGAUCUCGCUGCCUAAAGAAAUCGGAGAGCUUACUCAGCUUAAGGAACUCCACAUUCAGGGGAACCGCCUGACCGUUCUGCCCCCAGAACUAGGAAACUUGGAUUUAACUGGUCAGAAGCAAGUGUUCAAAGCAGAGAACAAUCCCUGGGUUACCCCCAUUGCUGACCAGUUCCAGCUUGGCGUGUCCCACGUGUUUGAAUAUAUCCGUUCUGAGACAUACAAAUAGCUAGCAUCGCUCUGGGAUGAAUGCCACCCGCUGUAAUUGUCGGGUACUUUGUCAACAUUUAAUCAACGGUACUUAUUAACGCGGCAUUGAUGUGUGGUCGCCAUCCCACUGCCAUCAAUCACGUGUGAGCAGCCUGAGCAGGCUCGGACACCAUUGCUCUCUGUCACAUUAUCCAGCCCCUGGGCUUUCCGGCCAGGCGUGAUGCUCACUUUUCACUAAAUGGACACUCUGUCUCUUCAGUUCGACCCAGUUUUUGUCAUUGUCGACUUAAACGCUCACAGCCGUUAGAGCUUCAUUCCGGAACAGCUGGGCUGAGCAUUACCGGUUCUCACAGCCCCAGAUCUCUUCUGCCUUUGGUGUUGUCACACUCUGCCCAGUGAACGUGAAAUUCCGGGACACUUGUCCAGAAUUGACCUCAUCAUGCACUGCGUGUGUGUGCGCACAUGUGGAAGAGAAUUUCAAAUUCCUAAAUAAAAGCCUCUACGGCAGACACAUGCAGGCGAACCCAGAACCGCCGAAGAAAAAUAAUGACAAAUCGAAAAAGAUCAGCCGGAAACCCCUGACAGCCAAGAACAAAUAAAGGGUUGGCAUGGGCUGGACUUCUCGUUACUCCUCUUCCUUGUUAUUACUUCUGUUCCCUGUUACUGUAUACCACCAAUAAAUACAAUGUGUGUGUCGCUUUUCCACUCUCUCCUUCUAGCACUUAACCACUUCACCUCUUAACAUGCUUUUGGUAGGUGGUAGAUUUUUAUAAGUUCUCAAAAUCAUUUCCAUUUGUUUCCUUACAACUGCCAAAGGCAGGAAACAAAGCUCUAAUUCAACUGCAAAUUCCAGAGGAGGCACAGACCGCAGCUCCUUGAAUAGAUGUUCACUAAGGUGCGUGUUCUGAAAAGAAUAAUUAAAAAAUCAUGCGAUCACUUAAAUGUCACCACUAACACUGUUCGCUCUUCUGUUUAUUCACAGAACUCAUUACUUUGCUUUGUGAAAAGCUUUCCUUAACCAUCAAGGUAUUGUGUUAACUUACAAGUAAUUUUUAAUAAAAUCUUGAAUUUGUA
This is an RNA transcript of Neofelis nebulosa (Clouded leopard), 1946 nucleotides long. It is a transcript of the gene named Ras suppressor protein 1, with no coding region annotated. The transcript is spliced from 10 exons. The record is from RefSeq and is a predicted model, not a curated record. NCBI's taxonomy places the organism in Eukaryota, Metazoa, Chordata, Mammalia, Carnivora, Felidae.